UACGGAGGAUGCAAGCGUUAUCCGGAAUUACUGGGCGUAAAGGGUGCGUAGGCGGUCUUUCAAGCCAGAAGUGAAAGGCUACGGCUCAACCGUAGUAAGCCUUUGAAACUGGGAAACUUGAGUGCAGGAGAGGAGAGUGGAAUUCCUAGUGUAGCGGUGAAAUGCGUAGAUAUUAGGAGGAAUACCAGUUGCGAAGGCGGCUCUCUGGACUGUAACUGACACUGAGGCACGAAAGCGUGGGAGCAAACAGGAUUAGAUACCCUGGUAGU
RNAcentral lists this ribosomal RNA (269 nucleotides) under uncultured prokaryote. RNAcentral describes it as "partial 16S ribosomal RNA". It matches the Rfam family "Bacterial small subunit ribosomal RNA", at positions 524 to 794 of the family's 1533-position model. The record is from RNAcentral.